AGUGAACGCUGGCGGUAGGCCUAACACAUGCAAGUCGAACGGCAGCACAGUAAGAGCUUGCUCUUACGGGUGGCGAGUGGCGGACGGGUGAGGAAUACAUCGGAAUCUACUUUUUCGUGGGGGAUAACGUAGGGAAACUUACGCUAAUACCGCAUACGACCUACGGGUGAAAGCAGGGGAUCUUCGGACCUUGCGCGAUUGAAUGAGCCGAUGUCGGAUUAGCUAGUUGGCGGGGUAAAGGCCCACCAAGGCGACGAUCCGUAGCUGGUCUGGGAGGAUGAUCAGCCACACUGGAACUGAGACACGGUCCAGACUCCUACGGGAGGCAGCAGUGGGGAAUAUUGGACAAUGGGCGCAAGCCUGAUCCAGCCAUACCGCGUGGGUGAAGAAGGCCUUCGGGUUGUAAAGCCCCUUUGUUGGGAAAGAAAAGCAGCAGGUUAAUAUCCCGCUGUUCUGACGGUACCCAAAGAAUAAGCACCGGCUAACUUCGUG
This 492-nucleotide ribosomal RNA is filed under the name uncultured bacterium. Its description in RNAcentral is "partial 16S ribosomal RNA". It matches the Rfam family "Bacterial small subunit ribosomal RNA", at positions 29 to 507 of the family's 1533-position model. The record is from RNAcentral.